GACGAACGCUGGCGGCGUGCUUAACACAUGCAAGUCGAACGGAAAGGCCCUGCUUUUGUGGGGUGCUCGAGUGGCGAACGGGUGAGUAACACGUGAGUAACCUGCCCUUGACUUUGGGAUAACUUCAGGAAACUGGGGCUAAUACCGGAUAGGUGCUCCUGCUGCAUGGUGGGGGUUGGAAAGUUUCGGCGGUUGGGGAUGGACUCGCGGCUUAUCAGCUUGUUGGUUGGGUAGUGGCUUACCAAGGCUUUGACGGGUAGCCGGCCUGAGAGGGUGACAGGCAAAAUUGGGGAUGAGAUACGGGCCAGCCUAAUCGGGGAUGAAGCAGUGGGGAAUAUUGCACAAUGGGCGGAAGACUGAUGCAGCAACGCCGCGUGCGGGAUGACGGCCUUCGGGUUGUAAACCGCUUUCGCAUGUGAUGAAGCGUGAGUGACGGUAAUGGGUAAAGAAGCACCGGCUAACUACGUG
This 468-nucleotide ribosomal RNA is filed under the name uncultured bacterium. RNAcentral's name for it is "partial 16S ribosomal RNA". It matches the Rfam family "Bacterial small subunit ribosomal RNA", at positions 28 to 507 of the family's 1533-position model. The record is from RNAcentral.